UGGGAAGGCUAAUCAAGCUUAGUAGGGCUGCUAACUUUACUAUAAGGGUGUUGAAUCCCUUCUUUUCAU
RNAcentral lists this transfer RNA (69 nucleotides) under Mytilisepta virgata. RNAcentral's name for it is "tRNA-Ser". Lineage: Eukaryota; Metazoa; Mollusca; Bivalvia; Mytilida; Mytilidae. The record is from RNAcentral.